GCUGUGGUGGUGUAAUGGUCAGCAUAUUUCCCUAGUAAGCAAAAAGACCUGGGUUCGAGUCCCGGCCGCAGCG
Non-coding RNA from Schistocerca nitens (vagrant locust), 73 nucleotides. NCBI's taxonomy places the organism in Eukaryota, Metazoa, Arthropoda, Insecta, Orthoptera, Acrididae. The record is from the annotation of a RefSeq genome assembly.